This 802-nucleotide ribosomal RNA is filed under the name Sobralia callosa. RNAcentral describes it as "eukaryotic LSU rRNA". The stretch from base 339 to 494 matches the Rfam family "5.8S ribosomal RNA". The record is from RNAcentral. Lineage: Eukaryota; Viridiplantae; Streptophyta; Magnoliopsida; Asparagales; Orchidaceae.
GCCGCCCGUGACUCUGCGAGAAGUCCAUUGAACCUUAUCAUUUAGAGGAAGGAGAAGUCGUAACAAGGUUUCCGUAGGUGAACCUGCGGAAGGAUCAUUGUCGAGACCGAAAGAGAGGGAGUGAUUCAGAGAACUCGUAAAAGAAGCGGCAACAGUUGCUGCAGUGGAGCAGGCAUCCCGAUUGUUGCCACAUCCCCUCCUCCGGGGGCCACGAUGACGAGGGUUGGAUGAAAACUCAAACCGGCGCAGCUUCGCGCCAAGGGAAAAUAUGCAAAUGUAAGCCCUGCUGUGGGUUUAGCGGUGCGGAGUGUUGCUACGCACCAUAUGUAUUAUAAUAUGACUCUCGGCAAUGGAUAUCUCGGCUCUCGCAUCGAUGAAGAGCGCAGCGAAAUGCGAUAUAUGGUGCGAAUUGCAGAAUCCCGUGAACCAUCGAGUCUUUGAACGCAAGUUGCGCCCGAGGCCAAUCGGCCAAGGGCACGUCUGCCUGGGCGUCAAGCAUUGCAUCGCUCCAUGCCAACGCCAUCCCACCAAAGGGUGUGUCAGUGCGCAGGCUUGGAUGUGUAGAGUGGCUCGUCGUUCUCCAUCGGUGCGGGCGGCGGGCUAAAGAGCGAGUUUUCGUCUUAUCAGCCACGUUUGACGAUGGGUGGAUAAAAGCUAUGAGCAUGACCUACGUCGCCUCAUGUUGGCUUGAGGAAAGCUUAAUAGGGUCCUAACUCAGGCGUCGCACUAUAGGCGACGACUUCGAAUGCGACCCCAGGAUGGGCGGGGCCACCCGUCGAGUUUAAGCAUAUCAAUAAGCGGA